ACGGGGGGUGCAAGCGUUAUUCGGAAUUACUGGGCGUAAAGAGCGCGUAGGCGGUCUUUUAAGUCGGAUGUGAAAGCCCGGGGCUCAACCCCGGAAGUGCACUCGAAACUAUUAGACUUGAGUAUGGGAGAGGGAAGUGGAAUUCCUGGUGUAGCGGUGAAAUGCGUAGAUAUCAGGAGGAACAUCGGUGGCGAAGGCGACUUCCUGGACCAAUACUGACGCUGAGGCGCGAAGGCGUGGGGAGCAAACAGG
RNAcentral lists this ribosomal RNA (252 nucleotides) under uncultured bacterium. RNAcentral describes it as "partial 16S ribosomal RNA". It matches the Rfam family "Bacterial small subunit ribosomal RNA", at positions 525 to 776 of the family's 1533-position model. The record is from RNAcentral.